UCACUCUCUCUUCUUCCUACACGUACGGACGUCACCCAAAACCCUUUCAAACUUCACAGAUCGACAUCUAAGAGGUAAGAUUCUUGUUCCUUGUAAGCUUCUGAGUUCAUUGGUACCAUUUUUGAGAAUGGAAAGCUUCGAAAACCCGAGAAACCCUAACCUCGACUUUGUGCACUAUUCAUGCACAUGUAAUUUUGAAGGUUUUAAGGAAUUUGGAGCUUAUAGAUAGCUUAAGGAGGUUCCCACGAGGCUAGGAGUGGUUCGUUGGAAGAAUUUGGACGUUGGAAUAACGAGAUCGGCGGGUUGCAGGUUUUGGCCGGAUUAUCAAUGAGAUUUCCGGCGAAUCUCGUAGGAUUUAGGUUCUAAAACUG
RNAcentral lists this long non-coding RNA (371 nucleotides) under Malus domestica (apple). RNAcentral describes it as "long non-coding RNA (MDOM_LNC017781)". Lineage: Eukaryota; Viridiplantae; Streptophyta; Magnoliopsida; Rosales; Rosaceae. The record is from RNAcentral.